This 164-nucleotide small nuclear RNA is filed under the name Castor canadensis (American beaver). RNAcentral describes it as "U1 spliceosomal RNA (ENSCCNG00000017720.1)". It matches the Rfam family "U1 spliceosomal RNA". From Rfam's summary of the family: U1 is a small nuclear RNA (snRNA) component of the spliceosome (involved in pre-mRNA splicing). Its 5' end forms complementary base pairs with the 5' splice junction, thus defining the 5' donor site of an intron. Lineage: Eukaryota; Metazoa; Chordata; Mammalia; Rodentia; Castoridae. The record is from Rfam by way of RNAcentral.
AUACUUACUUGGCACGGAAGAUACCAUGAUCAGGAAGGAGGUCUUCCCAGGGCGAGGCUUAUCCAUUGCACUCCGAAUGUGCUGACCCCUGUGAUUUCCCCAAAUGUGGGAAACUCGACUGCAUAAUUUGUGGUAGUGGGGGACUGCAUUCACGCUCUCCCCUG